RNAcentral lists this ribosomal RNA (153 nucleotides) under Xenosphaeropsis pyriputrescens. Its description in RNAcentral is "Sphaeropsis pyriputrescens partial 28S ribosomal RNA". Lineage: Eukaryota; Fungi; Ascomycota; Leotiomycetes; Phacidiales; Phacidiaceae. The record is from RNAcentral.
UCAAAAUCAGUGGCGGUGCCGUCUGGCUUCAAGCGUAGUAAUACUUCUCGCUCUGGAGCCCGGGCGAGCGUCCCGCCAGAACCCCCCAUAUUCUUUCAGGUUGACCUCGGAUCAGGUAGGGAUACCCGCUGAACUUAAGCAUAUCAAUAAGCG